GCGAUUUUCAUCUCACCUCACUUCACGAUUCCUUCACUGUUCUCAGCCUCUCUCAGAUCGCAUUCCUUCACUUCACGAUUCCCACUCCAUGGCGAACUCUGAUUGAACCUCUCAGCGAUGGCGAACUCCAUGGCUUGAACCUUUCAGAUCGCGACUCCCACCUCACCUCAUGGAUUGAAGUGUUUGUGGUUUGCUUAGGAAUUAUGGCUCAAAUUUCUCUUGUUUUGGCAAAAUCGAGUGGUUUCCUGGGUUCGAUUUCUUCCACUGCGCACGCUCUGCUUCGGAUCCAAACAAGGUGGCAUUUAGGACCAAGGUAUUUCACCCAAAGAUCAACAGUAAUGGCAGUAUAUGCCUUGACAUUCUUAAAGAACAGUGGAGUCCAGCACUAACCAUUUCCAAGCUCAGGAUACGUGAGAGGCAUGGGCUUUGGUGUUUGUCCAUCUCAAGUGUUGGAAUCUGGUAGCAGCUCUAGUAGCUCGCAAUUUGCUGGCAUCACAUUGGCUGAAUGGAAUGCCAUGCAAUCAAAAUUUCAAGCUUUAGAGGAACGAAUGAAUUCUUUCAUUCAACAGUUUGGAGGUCAAGGGCCACCUAACCAGGUUUGAACCAGAUAUUGCUUGACUCCAUACAUUUUCAGUUUGCACAUCCCAAAGUAGUCCCUCAACCUAUGGUUUUCUUGGAUGAUGCAAUCCUUACUUCUAUUCUGUAAGUUUCUUUUUAUGAAUCAUUUGAAUACAUUUGGGUGGAUGAAAGUGCUAGUACAUUUGACAUAUUUCCAAGGUGUUUGUAAGCUAAAUAUGAUGUUAGCAAGUGUGCAUGCUGUUUUAUUUAAAGAGAUCAUUUUAUAAA
Long non-coding RNA from Lotus japonicus, 846 nucleotides. RefSeq lists it as uncharacterized. Lineage: Eukaryota; Viridiplantae; Streptophyta; Magnoliopsida; Fabales; Fabaceae. The record is from RefSeq and is a predicted model, not a curated record. The transcript has 5 exons.